RNAcentral lists this ribosomal RNA (1302 nucleotides) under Salmonella enterica. RNAcentral's name for it is "partial 23S ribosomal RNA". It matches the Rfam family "Bacterial large subunit ribosomal RNA", at positions 1658 to 2925 of the family's 2925-position model. Lineage: Bacteria; Pseudomonadati; Pseudomonadota; Gammaproteobacteria; Enterobacterales; Enterobacteriaceae. The record is from RNAcentral.
CACAGGUGGUCAGGUAGAGAAUACCAAGGCGCUUGAGAGAACUCGGGUGAAGGAACUAGGCAAAAUGGUGCCGUAACUUCGGGAGAAGGCACGCUGACAUGUAGGUGAAGUGAUUUACUCAUGGAGCUGAAGUCAGUCGAAGAUACCAGCUGGCUGCAACUGUUUAUUAAAAACACAGCACUGUGCAAACACGAAAGUGGACGUAUACGGUGUGACGCCUGCCCGGUGCCGGAAGGUUAAUUGAUGGGGUCAGCGCAAGCGAAGCUCCUGAUCGAAGCCCCGGUAAACGGCGGCCGUAACUAUAACGGUCCUAAGGUAGCGAAAUUCCUUGUCGGGUAAGUUCCGACCUGCACGAAUGGCGUAAUGAUGGCCAGGCUGUCUCCACCCGAGACUCAGUGAAAUUGAACUCGCUGUGAAGAUGCAGUGUACCCGCGGCAAGACGGAAAGACCCCGUGAACCUUUACUAUAGCUUGACACUGAACAUUGAGCCUUGAUGUGUAGGAUAGGUGGGAGGCUUUGAAGUGUGGACGCCAGUCUGCAUGGAGCCGACCUUGAAAUACCACCCUUUAAUGUUUGAUGUUCUAACGUGGACCCGUGAUCCGGGUUGCGGACAGUGUCUGGUGGGUAGUUUGACUGGGGCGGUCUCCUCCUAAAGAGUAACGGAGGAGCACGAAGGUUGGCUAAUCCUGGUCGGACAUCAGGAGGUUAGUGCAAUGGCAUAAGCCAGCUUGACUGCGAGCGUGACGGCGCGAGCAGGUGCGAAAGCAGGUCAUAGUGAUCCGGUGGUUCUGAAUGGAAGGGCCAUCGCUCAACGGAUAAAAGGUACUCCGGGGAUAACAGGCUGAUACCGCCCAAGAGUUCAUAUCGACGGCGGUGUUUGGCACCUCGAUGUCGGCUCAUCACAUCCUGGGGCUGAAGUAGGUCCCAAGGGUAUGGCUGUUCGCCAUUUAAAGUGGUACGCGAGCUGGGUUUAGAACGUCGUGAGACAGUUCGGUCCCUAUCUGCCGUGGGCGCUGGAGAACUGAGGGGGGCUGCUCCUAGUACGAGAGGACCGGAGUGGACGCAUCACUGGUGUUCGGGUUGUCAUGCCAAUGGCACUGCCCGGUAGCUAAAUGCGGAAGAGAUAAGUGCUGAAAGCAUCUAAGCACGAAACUUGCCCCGAGAUGAGUUCUCCCUGAGACUUAGAGUCUCCUGAAGGAACGUUGAAGACGACGACGUUGAUAGGCCGGGUGUGUAAGCGCAGCGAUGCGUUGAGCUAACCGGUACUAAUGAACCGUGAGGCUUAACCUUACAACGCCGAAG